This is a long non-coding RNA of Nerophis ophidion (straightnose pipefish), 421 nucleotides long. RefSeq lists it as uncharacterized. The transcript has 2 exons. Lineage: Eukaryota; Metazoa; Chordata; Actinopteri; Syngnathiformes; Syngnathidae. The record is from RefSeq and is a predicted model, not a curated record.
UUUUUAGAAACCUGCACGCCUGGAUUGAUUUCCGUCCAUGUGCAACAUGUGCUUGACUGACGUAGAAGGAGCUGCAAGGAGAUACCGUAAAAGUCCACUCUCCAAGCUGUACAUGUUUUUGUUUUUCCCUCCACCUAAAUAAACAAAGUAAUAUACACGUUGGACAUUAUUAUUUGUGGAAGGGGCGUGGUCCACGCAUCCCCUUUGGGCAGGGCAUGCACAAGAGCCGGCUGUGAGGCAACUGACAGGUGAGGAGAUAUCUCAGCUGCAACGAGUUAUCUAAUCACCUGUCUCUUUAUUAGCAGCGUCAGAGACCAUGAGAGGGAGGGGAGAGAGCGCUGACAGACGGACGAACCAGGGGAAGCACGAGCACAACGACAUUUGCACGAAAGAGCAAAAAUAAAAGACUUGUAAAACCUGA